RNAcentral lists this unclassified non-coding RNA (513 nucleotides) under Hevea brasiliensis (rubber tree). Lineage: Eukaryota; Viridiplantae; Streptophyta; Magnoliopsida; Malpighiales; Euphorbiaceae. The record is from RNAcentral.
CAGCCUUCUUGGUCCUCUUGGUCUAUAUAUAAAACAAAAAAUGGAAGUUAGGUGUAAAAGCACAGAAAAAAUUGCGAGUCCUACAGGCGUUAUGUGAUAUUAAAAAAAGUAGAGUCCACAAGCAAAUAGGUUACAUUUGAGCCAAUUAUCAAUAUUCGGAAACAAAAAAUGGAGUAAUAGAAUACAAUAACAUAGGUUGUAACUUCAAAGAAAAAAGUGAGGUAUAUUGAAUUCUUGCACAUGACAUCUCCCCAACGGAUUGUUUCAAAUAAAUCAUGUAAACAUAUGUAAAUUGCAGAAAUAGAGAAGACAGCACAUACACAGCAUCAUGUAUCAUUGACCUCAUAGAUUAAGAUGAAGAUGGAUACGGAAAUGGAGAAUAGAAAGUACCAUUUAGGAUGGGUUUGAAGAGCAAAAACCCUAGAAAGUUGAAUAUCCUCGCUCUUGUGCGGCCAACUAAAACAAAAUCGAUCCCUUCACUGGCCUCUUAUAUGGAGAGUAAGACCGCAGAGG